GAGGGUACAGCUCAGUGGCAGAGCACUUGCUUAGCAUGCAUGAAGUCCUGGGUUCAAUCCCCAGUAACCUCC
Molecule: transfer RNA, 72 nt
Filed under: Camelus bactrianus (Bactrian camel)
Lineage: Eukaryota; Metazoa; Chordata; Mammalia; Artiodactyla; Camelidae
Also listed under: 2 other names
Rfam family: tRNA
About the family: Transfer RNA (tRNA) molecules are approximately 80 nucleotides in length.
Source: Rfam by way of RNAcentral